GGUAAGAUGGUUGAGUGUUAGGCGGUAGGCUGUAGUCCUAUUUACAUAGGUUUAAUUCCUUUUCUUAUCA
This 70-nucleotide transfer RNA is filed under the name Anolis smallwoodi. Its description in RNAcentral is "tRNA-Tyr". It matches the Rfam family "tRNA". Rfam says of the family: Transfer RNA (tRNA) molecules are approximately 80 nucleotides in length. Lineage: Eukaryota; Metazoa; Chordata; Lepidosauria; Squamata; Anolidae. The record is from RNAcentral.